GAAACAAUGAUGUAAACUGACUUUUAAUCAGUGGGUCGCAGGUUCGAUCCCUGCACGGCUCACCA
Molecule: transfer RNA, 65 nt
Filed under: Paracoccaceae bacterium
Lineage: Bacteria; Pseudomonadati; Pseudomonadota; Alphaproteobacteria; Rhodobacterales; Paracoccaceae
Also listed under: 1 other name
Description: Rhodobacteraceae bacterium tRNA-Ser
Source: RNAcentral